This 360-nucleotide ribosomal RNA is filed under the name Trochulus striolatus. RNAcentral describes it as "partial large subunit ribosomal RNA". The record is from RNAcentral. Lineage: Eukaryota; Metazoa; Mollusca; Gastropoda; Stylommatophora; Hygromiidae.
AAAGGUAGCAUAAUCAAUUGGCUUAUAAUUGAAGUCUAGUAUGAAUGGGAAUUCGGGGAAUAGCUCUCUCGACCAAGAUUUAUAUAAGUUACUUAAUGAGUGAAAAUUCUCAUAGUAAAAAAGAAAGACGAGAAGACCCUAGAAAUUUUGUAUAUAUAUAUAUAUUUUAUAUUUAUUUUGUUGGGGCGACAUAGUAACAAAUAACUUACUAUAAUAUAUAUGCUACUACUAAGUUGGGAGAAUAAAUUACUCUAGGGAUAACAGCAUUAUUCAAAGUGAGUUUGUGACCUCGAUGUUGGACUAGGAAAUAAUUUUUCUAAAAGAUAAAUUUAUAGGCUCUGUUCGAGCUUUAUUAUCCUA